RNAcentral lists this long non-coding RNA (3621 nucleotides) under Oryza sativa Indica Group (long-grained rice). Its description in RNAcentral is "lncRNA OsMH63_12G008650". Lineage: Eukaryota; Viridiplantae; Streptophyta; Magnoliopsida; Poales; Poaceae. The record is from RNAcentral.
AUCGAACAGAACACAGGCAUCGGCGGCUUCGGCCACGGCGGCGGCGGCGUCCUGGUUCCGGGCUGGAACCUUGGCGAUCUCUCUCUUUUCUACCUCUCUUCAUACCUCCAGCUACCUCUCCUAGUUCUAGAAGUUUCAAGAACUUGUAUUCCCUAGUUUCUUCUUUUCUUUUUCACCCCAAAACAAUGGUUGCUUGUAUGGUGGAUCCUUGCUAUUGAAUUGGAGGGAUUGGGUUCCUAACAAUCUGGUAUCAGAGCCGUUCGGUUCACUGGGAUUCUUGUCAUGGAGGAGUUUGGGAGGCAGCCAUGCAAGAGGGAGCAGGAAUUGGGUUGGGAAAGUUUUCAUCCAAGCAGCACCCACCAACUGUUCGAUGAAAUGUCAAGCCCAUUGGAGGUGUUUGAGGAAGACGUUCUUCUUGUCAUGAGUGAGGAGAACAUCACAUGGGAUGAAGCACUCCAUCUGUUACAAGAGGAACUGAAGGAUGCCCAAUGUAGAUUUGAUGAGAAGCUAGAUCGUUUUUUGGAGGUGUUCGGCUUGAUGGGAGACAAGAGCAAUCAAUCUGAGGAAGACAAAAGGAGCAAUGAAUCUGAGGAAUUCAGUGCCUCCAUCAAGGAGCUCACCCCCACCACCGAGGCUGCUGCAUUUCAAUCACCCCAAGCAUCACCUUCUUCAGCGCCCACCAAGUGUUCGAUAAUUUGCUUUGGCCUCGACACCAUGUCUGACCUCAACAUGGCAGCAGCAGUUGUGUGCGCCACCACUUCUCUGGCCUCCAUGGAGUUAGUGGCUGGAGGGAACGCAACCUGUGAACCCUACGUUGACACCCCUGGUCAUCCCAAGGAGACGCAUGUCAAGUGUUCGAUGGUUGGCCUUGAGGUCAAGGGUGGCACCGACCACACCAGGGUCACAUGCCAGACCAUGAUGGGUGUGCCUGACAGCGUUCUAGUACCUGAUGCAUCAUCCAAGGUCUUCUCGCCAUGGUUGAUUGUUGAAAUGGGCCUUGUUCCCUUGCUGCUCACUGUGUGUUCGAUGAAAUGUUCCAAAGACAAGAAGAAGCUGCUACUGGGGAAUGCUAAGAGAAAUUCAUGGACACCUUCUUGGGUGGGCGGAGUGAUUAGACGAUGGGAGUUGCAGCCUUUGCCAUGGCCUGGAUCCAAAUUAUAUUGGGAAGGUUUACCAUUGAUGCCCCCAUGGCCACCACCGACUCGAGUAAGCUUCCUGGCAUGUGAGACUUUUGAUAUUGGAGCUCUAGUCAUUGGAACAGUGAUUUUAACACAAGCGAUGGUUGAGAUAAAACCAUGGCCUCCACCAAGUGAAGUAAGUGGUCUUCCCUUACUUCCAAUUCAAAGGAUUGGAACAUUUCAUACUGAGAGGAAAGUUACAGACUUGCAUUGGGCUGAGUUGAAAGCUUGGUCUCUGUUUGAUGAAAAUGGUACCAGCCACAUCCUAACAGAUGAGCCGUGUGAGCUUUACUUGGGUUGUGUAAUUUUCACUGCUGGAAACACUAGGAACCUUGAAAAGCUUGAGUUUAUAAGGUGGACCAAGUGGCAACAACAACUUUUUGCAGAAAGGGAUUAUCCUAAUAGUGCUGAAGGGAAUCAAUUAAUUGCUUGGAAUUUUAAGCAGUACAUUGAUGGAGGAGUGCUUUCCUUUGUUGCUAUAAAGUUGUCAAUCCAGCCAACAAACGUUGAGCAAAUCAGUCAGUACAUUGUUCAAUAUUCAAGUAUUGGGAGAGAAUUGGAUUUCUAUCAUAAAUUGCAUACACUUGCUCAAGUUAUUGGGAGAAAGGAUUCCUUACUUCAGCUAUCUGAACCCCAGUUAACAUCAUGUAAAGUUGGACAAAAUACUGAGAAGGGUGGAUGGUGUCUUAUCAUGGACAAGAGAUGCUCAGAUUUUUUCAAGCUUCUGGCAUUGUUAGAUGGGAAAUGGGAAGCUAUCAGACAUGCAAUGGUUUAUCUUAUCACAAAGCUAAUUCACAUAUCACCAAGGAAUGCACCCUUUAGAUCAACAAUCAAUUAUCUGCUGGGAGGUAAUAAUCUUGUGGUUCUACACAAAUCAAUUGUUGGGAUCCACUUGGGAUGGUGGGUGUUUCCUUGUGACAUUGGAGUGAGACCCCUGGAAAAAUUGGUGAGGAGAUUAGCACAGUUCUGGCAACAUAAAGGACAAGCAAAGCCUUCUCUUGCAUUCCUGAACAGCAACCCAAGAACAAGCCGUGACAUGAUUUUGCACAGACCCUGGGAUCCUGGUGGUGGUAUCAAUUCCAUACUAUUUCAUUUCUAUCGGCUUGAGGGCAAGCCGAAUGUCAAGGAGAGGGGAUUGUUAGGAACCUGAUUGGGCUGUAUAUGGGCCAAGCUAGCCAAGUCCAAGCGAGGCCCAAGCAAGCAGAAGGAGCAGCAUACAAAAGCAACAGCAACAGCAUUAUUGGAAGGCAUCGAACAGAACACAGGCAUCGGCGGCUUCGGCCACGGCGGCGGCGGCGUCCUGGUUCCGGGCUGGAACCUUGGCGAUCUCUCUCUCUUCUACCUCUCUUCAUACCUCCAGCUACCUCUCCUAGUUCUAGAAGCUUCAAGAACUUGACGGUAUGGAAAAGAAGUCACAUGUCGCCCGUCGACGUUCACAUGGUACCCCUCCAACCCAGCGCUGAUAGUAAGAACAAACAAUCGGCCCUCCACAAAAGGAUAAGGCCAAUCAAAAUUCAUCUCCUUCUGUCCGAUCAGCCGGUUCAGCCAGGGGUCCCCAACCGGUCUCCUCAUCAGAGUGGGACUUCCAGCCCUCACAGCGGAGCGGGGCGCCCCACUGCAUUCGGUAGCAGGUGUUCUGCUCAAUCACCGGCCUGCUGCUCCAGUCACCGCGGAGGCGUGGGUUGAAGUGGAGGAUGUGCGGCGGGUCCUCGCCGUCGACGGUCUUUAGCCCCCGAAGCUCCAUCAUGAACUGCGACACCAUGAUCGGUUGCUCCCCCUUGCUCAGCACCGCGAUCUUAGGGUCACCCCCAGCGUCAGCCCGCACGACAACUCCACCAUGCGGCCCCUCCCAUGGAACUCGUCGGCGGAGUGCAUGACCGACUGCGGGCACUUGGUCGCCUCCUCCUCCUCGGCGGACGGCGACUCGAAGGCGGCGGUGUCGAGGUCGUCGAGUUCCGCGAACACGCGCGUGCCUGUCUCGACGGCGCCGGCAAUCGGGCAGCGGAGUGGGCCGGCGCGCGACGUGUUGAGGAGGCCAAGGUCGAGGCCAGAGACCAUCCCCGAGAGGCGCCGGCCGCGUGCGGAAGGCCCCGAGAGUGACGCGGACGCCGCCAGGCGAGGCUCCUUCGCCGAGCGCGCCGGGGCCGCCCGCACCCCGCCGCCGGCGAGCCAGGAUCGGUGGGCGUCGAGGGAGAGAAAGAGGGCGGAGUCGGCGCGGGUGGGAGGCGUGAUCUGGGCGGCGGAUGGAAGGGAGGUGCACAAGAGAGGCGCGAUUUGGAGCAGGUGCGGGUGGAUCUAGAGGAAGGUACGGAGCCCUUGGAUGUAACUCUUUGGAGCGUUGGAUGUGUGACAUGAUGAAUGAUGAAUGAGUAAAACUAUUUGUUCAACUAUAAGGUAGACUACUAGUUUUUCAUUUGCUGUAACAUCGGGCAUCUGGACAUCC